UAGAUGCUAGUCUCUGAGAUUAAGCCAUGCAUGUUUAUGUAACAAGGACGAACAGCUCAGUAAAACUGCGAUGAUUCAGUCUGUCCGUGCACGAUAACCACGUGAAAAUGUGGCUAAGAGAGGACAGAACAAGACGCAGAACUAUCAGUUAGUUGGUAGUGUAAUGGACUACCAAGACGAUGACGGUUAACGGGGAAUCAGGGUUCUAUACC
Molecule: ribosomal RNA, 212 nt
Filed under: uncultured Microsporidia
Lineage: Eukaryota; Fungi; Microsporidia
Description: partial small subunit ribosomal RNA
Rfam family: Microsporidia small subunit ribosomal RNA
Source: RNAcentral